UUCAGAUUACCGCCGGGUACGUUCAGACUAUUCCAGUAGGCCUUAGCAGGAAUAGUGUGGACGUGCCCUUUUUU
Molecule: non-coding RNA, 74 nt
Filed under: unclassified sequences
Source: RNAcentral